UAACGGGCUCCUUCUUCCCCAGGGACAAGAAUGGCUAGACUGCCCUUGGCUGUGAGCACUCCUCAGUGCUCCUGGGGCUGAGGCUGAGCUGGCAGCCAUGGGGCUGGGAAGGCUCCAGGCUUGGAUGCUGGGCCUGCCCACGGCUGUGGUCUAUGGCUCCCUGGCCCUCUUCAUCUCCGUCCUGCACAACGUGUUCCUGCUUUACUAUGUGGACACCUUUGUCUCGGUGUACAAGAUCAACAAAACUGCCUUCUGGGUUGGAGAGGUAGGCCAGCACUGGGUGGGAGCCAGGCGGAUUGCAAGGCUGGGUCCCACCCAGUCUGGAGCUUGGGGCUGGCCAGGUUGCCCACCUCAAUUCAGCAAGAAAAGCUGGAGCUGGAGCUUUAAUAAAUGUUCAUUUAUCAGCUGGAUAAAUUCACCCUGGAUGGGUGGGAGUUUGAUGGGGGGCGGUGGCUGGUAGAGUGGGUUUUAGCAGAGGGACUGACCUGAGCAGAGGUUUGCAGGCAGGAAAGCUGUGCUCAUCUUGAGGGGUGGCGAGCAGGCUGGGUGGGGAAACCUCCGGAGAGGAGGUUGCCUGGAGCCCACCUGCCCCAUCUCCUCUUUGCCCACAGACGGUGUUUCUCCUCUGGAACAGCCUCAACGACCCCCUCUUCGGUUGGCUGAGUGACCGUCAGUUCCUCAGCUCCCAGCCCCGGUUUGUGUCCUGUGGGUGGGUCACAACGGGUCCUGUCCCAUCCCACUCCUCCCCAGGGGGUGUCUGUGUUUGGGGUGGGGAGAAAAAAAGGAAACCAUUUUCAGCUUUUGACCAGGCCCCCUCCCUUCCCAAGGUCAGUCAGGCUCUGGCCAUGUGGGAGAAUGGCCUUGACUAACUGUUGCCUUGCUCACGUGGGAAGAGAUUUACCUCAGCUUGCCUUGUCAGGUCCUUAGAACUGGGAGCUGUACAGCAAACACUCUCUGUUGCUUCUGGCAGAUUCCUUUACCCCAUCCUGCUUGGGCCCACCACUGCCCCCAACCCUGAGAAAUAGGUGUCCCACCACCCUUUGGCCAUCAGCCCUGGCAGGCUUGGCAAGGGACCAGACAAGAGAGUGUACCCCCUGGAGAGUUGUGCUUCCUAAAUCAGAGGCUGAGGACUCAGGGCUCAGUGGGACAACCCUGGUGUGAGUUCCAUACUCUGGGCCUCUGUCCUUCCUCUGGGGCCUGGGCAGGGGGGGAACUGGGGCUCAUCAAGUUUGUAAAAGCAUCUCCCAACUUUCCUCCUCUCUCUGGCAGGUCGGGUGCCGGGCUCUCCUCCAGGGCCGUGGUGCUGGCACGGGUGCGGGCCCUGGGCUGGCACGGGCCGCUGCUGGCAUUGUCGUUCCUGGCAUUCUGGGUGCCCUGGGCCCCAGCUGGCCUGCAGUUCUUGCUGUGCCUGUGCCUCUAUGAUGGUUUCCUGACUCUCGUGGACCUGCACCAUCAUGCCUUGCUGGCUGACCUGGCCCUCUCUGCCCAUGACCGUACCCACCUCAACUUCUACUGCUCCCUC
This 1522-nucleotide long non-coding RNA is filed under the name Lynx pardinus (Iberian lynx). The record is from RNAcentral. Lineage: Eukaryota; Metazoa; Chordata; Mammalia; Carnivora; Felidae.